RNAcentral lists this ribosomal RNA (232 nucleotides) under uncultured bacterium. Its description in RNAcentral is "partial 16S ribosomal RNA". It matches the Rfam family "Bacterial small subunit ribosomal RNA", at positions 524 to 753 of the family's 1533-position model. The record is from RNAcentral.
UACGUAGGGUGCAAGCGUUAAUCGGAAUUACUGGGCGUAAAGCGUGCGCAGGCGGCUAUGCAAGACAGAUGUGAAAAUCCCCGGGCUCAACCUGGGAACUGCAUUUGUGACUGCAUAGCUAGAGUACGGUAGAGGGGGAUGGAAUUCCGCGUGUAGCAGUGAAAUGCGUAGAUAUGCGGAGGAACACCGAUGGCGAAGGCAAUCCCCUGGACCUGUACUGACGCUCCAUGCA